RNAcentral lists this ribosomal RNA (253 nucleotides) under uncultured bacterium. RNAcentral's name for it is "partial 16S ribosomal RNA". It matches the Rfam family "Bacterial small subunit ribosomal RNA", at positions 524 to 776 of the family's 1533-position model. The record is from RNAcentral.
UACGUAGGGCGCAAGCGUUGUCCGGAAUUAUUGGGCGUAAAGAGCUCGUAGGCGGUCUGUUACGUCCGCUGUGAAAACCCAGGGCUUAACCCUGGGCUUGCAGUGGAUACGGGUAGACUAGAGGCAGGUAGGGGAGAAUGGAAUUCCCGGUGUAGCGGUGAAAUGCGCAGAUAUCAGGAGGAACACCAAUUGCGAAGGCAGCUCGCUGGGACGUUACUGACGCUGAGACGCGAAAGCGUGGGGAGCAAACAGG